This 400-nucleotide ribosomal RNA is filed under the name uncultured Rahnella sp. Its description in RNAcentral is "bacterial SSU rRNA". It matches the Rfam family "Bacterial small subunit ribosomal RNA", at positions 38 to 435 of the family's 1533-position model. The record is from RNAcentral. Lineage: Bacteria; Pseudomonadati; Pseudomonadota; Gammaproteobacteria; Enterobacterales; Yersiniaceae.
AGGGGCCCUUAAACGUGGCAAGUCGGAGCGGCAGCGGAGAGUAGCUUGCUACUUUGCCGGCGAGCGGCGGACGGGUGAGUAAUGUCUGGGAAACUGCCUGAUGGAGGGGGAUAACUACUGGAAACGGUAGCUAAUACCGCAUGACCUCGAAAGAGCAAAGUGGGGGAUCUUCGGACCUCACGCCAUCGGAUGUGCCCAGAUGGGAUUAGGUAGUUGGUGGGGUAAUGGCCUACCAAGCCGACGAUCCAUAGCUGGUCUGAGAGGAUGAUCAGCCACACUGGGACUGAGACACGGCCCAGACUCCUACGGGAGGCAGCAGUGGGGAAUUUUCCGCAAUGGGGGCAACCCUGACGGAGCAAGACCGCGUGAGGGAUGAAGGUCUGUGGAUUGUAAACCUCUU